AGCCACUGUGAAAACUGGCCAGAGACGUUCAGAGGAGAGCUGAAGCUCGGGGUGACUCUGGGAAGAUGAGGAACAUAGAGGAAGUGGCUCCCCUGUAUCCUCAGCUGACCUCUUAGCAGCUUCCUGUUUGGGGACCGCCCUAUGCGGCUUUCCGCAUCCUUCUCUCCACAAGGAGCAUGGGCAUACCAGUCAAGCUGUUGGCCCCUUUGUGCACACAAUGACCCUGGAAACUGUUCGGCUGCACUUCUCUGGUGCUCCUGUGACCAGCUGGGGGCUGCUGGGAGCACACUGCCUGGAGGUAAGGUUGCUUUCUUGUACGCACCGCUGAAUUCCCACAGGAAUCCCAGAAGCCACUGAAUCAGACAGUGCUCAGAGACGGC
RNAcentral lists this long non-coding RNA (380 nucleotides) under Oryctolagus cuniculus (rabbit). RNAcentral describes it as "lncRNA (ENSOCUG00000039545.1)". Lineage: Eukaryota; Metazoa; Chordata; Mammalia; Lagomorpha; Leporidae. The record is from RNAcentral.